ACGUAGUGGGAGGCGGAACUCUCGGAGUAGCGGUGGAAUGCGUAGAUACCGAGAGGUACCCCGAUGGUGAAGACAGCCUCCUGGGCGUCACCUGACACUGAAGCGCUAAGGCCAGGGGAGCAAAGGGGAUUAGAUACCCCCGUAGUCCUGGCUUCAAACGAUGUGGGCUUGGUGUCGGCUCCCGAAGAGAGUCGUUGCCGGAGCUAACGUGUUAAGCCCACCGCCUGGGGAUUACGUCCGCAAGGAUGAAACUCAAGGGAAUUGACGGGGGCCCACACAACCGGUGGAGCACGUGGUUUAAUUCGAUGAUAAGCGAAGAACCUUACCAGGACUUGACAUGUCGGUAGUAGGACCCUGAAAGGGGAACGAACCAAAGCUUUGCUUUGGUAGCCGUCACAGGUAUUGCAUGGCUGUCGUCAGCUCGUGUCGUGGGACGUUGGGUUAAGUCCCGUAACGAGCGCAACCCCUGCCCUUAAUUGCCAGCGCAUUUGGCGGGUACUAUAAGGGGACUGCCGGAGAAUAUCCGGAGGAAGGAGGGGACGACGUCAAGUCAUUAUGAUCCUUAUGUUCUGGGCGACACACGUGCUACAAUGGGCACUACAGUGGGGAGCCAAUCCGCAAGGAUGAGCAAAUCCCAAAAAGGUGCCCCCAGUGCGGAUUGGGGUCUGCAACCCGACCCCAUGAAGAUGGAAUCGGUAGUAAUCGCGGGUCAAGCCAUACCGCAGUG
RNAcentral lists this ribosomal RNA (727 nucleotides) under uncultured KB1 group bacterium. RNAcentral describes it as "bacterial SSU rRNA". It matches the Rfam family "Bacterial small subunit ribosomal RNA", at positions 649 to 1364 of the family's 1533-position model. Lineage: Bacteria; Candidatus Calescibacteriota. The record is from RNAcentral.